GGGAAGGCCAGUCUACAGGUGUGUUAAAAUUGCACAAAACUAAACAUAUGCAACCAUGAAUAUUUACAAAACUAAUAAAUCUCAAUAAGUGGUGUGGGCUACACUAAUUUCAAUUCCUGGUUUUGAUUCCUAGUUGUAGAGUUAUCCCAGAUGCUGCCCUUGGCCCUUGGCGGGAGGGUGCCUGAAAGACACACGGGACCUCCCUGGACAUGUUUUGCACCUUCUUGUGAAUCCAGUAAAAGGAUAAACAACGAUACCUGCAAACUCCAUAUGCAGAUGUACAUGCGUGUGAUUACCAUCGAACUGACAGACUCUGUGAAGGAUGCUGGUGCUCGUAGGACGGCGCAGCGCUCAGAGUUCCCAGCACAGCUCAGUUUCCCGGCCACAGAAUGGGAGACAGGAUGGAACAAAAUCAGACAUUUGUGUUCAGGGCUGGAUGUUUCUCCUGCGUGGGGGCCGCAGACCAUGGUUUCGAGCUCCGACCUGAGAGCAGCGGGAGGAAGAUGCUUAGAGGCAGCGCCUGUCGAGUCUGUGAAGCAGGGUGCUGUCCUCAGACACGAUGUGAUCCUGUGGCAUGGCCGGUCGGGGCAGACCGAAGACUCGGGAGCCCAAAGGCACAGGGUGAGGAGGUAUCCCUCGGAGCAAGACACGGGGGCUGGUGACUCCGAGAGCAAACAAUGUUAGGAUACUGAGAGCCACAUGUCACGGGCCACUGCCUGGAGGGCGUCGUGCCCCCUGGGAACCACCUCCUUCAGGAACUAGAGGAAGGGAGCUGGGAAUGAAGGCUACAACUCAAGAACCCGGUGAAAGGCAUUGCCCUGAUGAGCAAACCUGGAGUGUUUCAUCUUUGUCUCAUUCCCUCCUGAUGCCUGCAGCAACCCACCAUGCAAGGUCCACACUGCUAAGGCCUCGCCUACCCAGUGGGGACGCACACUUAGACACCAAGUGGAUCUCAAGGAGGUAUCUGCACCCUGGGCUCACAGCGGGCAAGACGUGGAAGCGACCCACGUGCCCAUCCCCGGACACGAGGCAGAGGAUGAGGAGGGUACACGCAGUACAGGGCCAUGCAGCCUUUUAUAAAAGGAAGGCGACCCUGGCACGGGCUACAACUUGGGUGGGCCUGGGGCAUCGUGUUCAGUGCGAUAGUCCAGUCACAGCAGGAUGAAGGCCGCAUGAUUCCACUGACACGUAGAACCUAAAAUUGCAGCCCACAUACCGGGCAGUAGGCGGUGCUGCUGCGGGCUGGGAGUGAGGAAAUGGGGAGAUGCUCCCCAGUGACCUCAGCUACUUGGGUGAGUAAGUCCCAGGGACCUGCAUGCA
This 1320-nucleotide long non-coding RNA is filed under the name Vulpes vulpes (red fox). RNAcentral describes it as "lncRNA (ENSVVUG00000008447.1)". Lineage: Eukaryota; Metazoa; Chordata; Mammalia; Carnivora; Canidae. The record is from RNAcentral.